Molecule: ribosomal RNA, 497 nt
Filed under: uncultured bacterium
Lineage: Bacteria
Description: partial 16S ribosomal RNA
Rfam family: Bacterial small subunit ribosomal RNA
Source: RNAcentral
GAUGAACGCUGGCGGCGUGCCUAAUACAUGCAAGUCGAGCGAACAGACGAGGAGCUUGCUCCUCUGACGUUAGCGGCGGACGGGUGAGUAACACGUGGAUAACCUACCUAUAAGACUGGGAUAACUUCGGGAAACCGGAGCUAAUACCGGAUAACAUGUUGAACCGCAUGGUUCAACAGUGAAAGACGGUCUUGCUGUCACUUAUAGAUGGAUCCGCGCCGCAUUAGCUAGUUGGUAAGGUAACGGCUUACCAAGGGAACGCUGCGUAGCCGACCUGAUAGGGUGAUCGGCCACACUGGAACUUAGACACGGUCCAGACUACUACGGGAGGCAGCAGUAGGGAAUCUUCCGCAAUGGGCGAAAGCCUGACGGAGCAAGGCCGCGUGAGUGAAGAAGGUCUUCGGAUCGGAAAGCCCUGUUAUUAGGGAAGAACAAAUGUGUAAGUAACUAUGCACGUCUUGACGGUACCUAAUCAGAAAGCCACGGCUAACUACGUG